AAAUAAGAAAAUACAACAAAAAUUUCUAAAAUGAAGUCAGUAUAAAUUGUUGUUUUGCUUCUCUGUGGGAUAUUAUCACUCAUAAUCUUUUUAACAUUUAACAUAGUACAUUAAAAUGAAAUGGUUUCAGGUCAUACUGAUAAACCCAAGUAGUCCACAUUAAAAUUGUUUCUUUCUAGCAGAUGAGUGACUUACAGAAAAUGACACCACUGUAAUGUGAGACAAGUUGGAAACAGAAAAAAUGGAGGAUUUCAAAUAACUACUCACCUUUUGAAGCCGUGUCUUCAUUUGUCUUUACUUCUUAACAAAAUUUUUACAUACCUGCAAAAUGUUUUCUUGCCUUGUUCUGAUGACAUCAAGCUAUGGGUCCAGCCUGAUGAGAAUUUUCCUUGAACUGCUCUGCUAUCUGCCAAGAAUCCCUAGUGUGGGUCCUCUUCUGCUUCUCCAUCAGUACUUUGGAAGCUGUGUGUAUGUACUGUUAAGAUUUUUGCAGACUGAGGAAUAUACACAAGAGAAGAAAAACAGUUUAAAAUCUUAGAAGACAUGACUGAAAUAUCACGAGAUUUUAAAGGACAGGACUCGGGCAAAAAGUACAGG
This 597-nucleotide long non-coding RNA is filed under the name Crocodylus porosus (Australian saltwater crocodile). RNAcentral describes it as "lncRNA (ENSCPRG00005006753.1)". Lineage: Eukaryota; Metazoa; Chordata; Crocodylia; Crocodylidae. The record is from RNAcentral.